Molecule: ribosomal RNA, 158 nt
Filed under: Glomus sp. BEG104
Lineage: Eukaryota; Fungi; Glomeromycota; Glomeromycetes; Glomerales; Glomeraceae
Description: 5.8S ribosomal RNA
Rfam family: 5.8S ribosomal RNA
About the family: 5.8S ribosomal RNA (5.8S rRNA) is a component of the large subunit of the eukaryotic ribosome. It is transcribed by RNA polymerase I as part of the 45S precursor that also contains 18S and 28S rRNA.
Source: RNAcentral
UCACUUUCAACAACGGAUCUCUUGGCUCUCGCAUCAAUGAAGAACGUAGCAAAGUGCGAUAAGUAGUGUGAAUUGCAGAAUUCCGUGAAUCAUCGAAUUUUUGAACGCAAAUUGCACUUUCUGGUAUUCCGGAGAGUAUGCCUGUUUGAGGGUCAGUA